GAAAGUGAUGAUAGAUUUUUGUCGCCCCAGUCUUAAUUUGCAUCUAUUUACUGGAUGCAACGUGGUGAUUGACAUUUGAUCUGAUUC
This 87-nucleotide small nucleolar RNA is filed under the name Olea europaea subsp. europaea. RNAcentral's name for it is "Small nucleolar RNA U31b". It matches the Rfam family "Small nucleolar RNA U31b". The record is from Rfam by way of RNAcentral. Lineage: Eukaryota; Viridiplantae; Streptophyta; Magnoliopsida; Lamiales; Oleaceae.